Acanthopagrus latus (yellowfin seabream) is the source of this 2066-nucleotide long non-coding RNA. RefSeq lists it as uncharacterized. The transcript is spliced from 4 exons. NCBI's taxonomy places the organism in Eukaryota, Metazoa, Chordata, Actinopteri, Spariformes, Sparidae. The record is from RefSeq and is a predicted model, not a curated record.
UUUCUUUCUUUUGGCUGGUUUCUAUACAUUUUAUUUCCACCCUGAUCUGUUACUCUCCACCUUUGAGACACCAAAGGGACCAGUUUGGUUUCUAUGCCAUUCCAAUGUUGUUGUUUUUUUUUUAAAUUUAUCAAUGUUGGUUUAGGCUGUCAAACAGGAUCGAUUAAAGUCAGCCAUCCCUGAUGUUUCUCUGUUUGACCAGCAGAGGGAGCUAAACCCUCUGACCUGCUGAAGGAUCCCAUUCACUCAAAGUACUGGGUGCACUUUGUUGUCUAUCCAGAAGAUGGCGACCUCAUCUCACAUUUGAUAGCAAUUAUCUGUCAGGGAGCUUCUGAGGCAGUUCUCACCUCUUCAACCCAGGGAUGUCUUGAGCGUCACACUGUUAAAUCCCCGGGCAGCCUCUCGAUUUAGCCCCCCCCAUCCCCCCAGUGGGUAACCUGGCCUCGAGCUCACACACCUGUCCCAGGGGAGACCUGAGCUCAAAUCCCCUAUCCCCUAUCCCCCCCAAGCUGUUUUCCACCUGACCUCCCAAGAUCCCUGUCUCGUCGAGUGGAGGGCCCAGCCGCCCCCCUCUCAUUUCACAUGGCUGUGGACACAAAGGGAAUAUACGCUGACAUUUCCCUGGAGGACCCCCACAGGUUUUUUUCCCAUCUUGUAAAUCACUGGUUGUGAGAGAUUGUGGACAAAGGCUUCUUCACAAGGAACAGUUCGAUUUUAAUUCAGCACGACCUCCCUCAGUGGACAUCGCGUCAGUCAGGUGAUACAUCCUAUACGAUUUCAAAUGACAACAAGCCGAGACAAACAUGCAGCCGUCUGAUUAACGUAAAGAAGGAGAGAAGAGUCGACCUCCACGCUGCCCCUCAUGGAGCCGUCGCCCCGAGCAACCAUGGAACAAGCCUCAGCAUCUUGAGUCCCCUAGUUACCAAACGUAUGAUCACAUGCAGUAUAAUGUAUAUACAGUUUCCUCUCAGACAACACAUCCUGAGUCCCGCGCAGACAUCGAUACCUGUCUGCAGCGUGUGCGGUGAAAUAUCUGGAGAUCUGCUCUGAAGACGUCAUGUCCUCGAGCGGAUCGUCCGCUGACACCGGCUCUGCUUCAGAUCUAUAAAAGGAAACGGCGAGAAACAUUUUUCUUCCUGCACAACAGCGCAAAACGACAUUGAUUUGUCUCAAUUAAAUAAAAAUCACAGCAUGGCAAGAACUAUGUUGUCAGAGAGAAUGUUAAAUUAAUAAUUUCAUGACUCUCCCUGAAGCCCCUCUGCUCUUCUAGCUCAAAGCCUGGUAUUCUCAAUCUGCAAUCUGAAUCUUCCUGCCAUGUCUCGGCGAUGAUAUACAGUCCAUCCAAUGACGGAUGACUCAGGCAGUGGAGUGAGUCAUCAAGGCUGCCGGUUCGCCCCGUUCGCCUCGUGAUGCAGUGAAAACUCUGACAAGGAGCCACAGUUCGAUUCGAGACCCACCACAGCGCUGUGCCAGUGAUCUCCUCUUCCCGGAAAAAGCCGGCUGACCAAAAUGCUUCAGCGGAGAACCAGUUGCUAGGAGACACCUCCUCCCUGCCCUGUGGAUGUCUGGGUUGCCCAUUGUAAAAGUGUGUGUGUGUGUGUGUGUGUGUGUGGAGAGAGGAUGAGAGUGAAAGGGAGGGAGUUUGAAACAGUCUUGGCAGCGUUACAAAUAUAUAGAUAUAUAUAUACCGUGUAAACCGCUUAUUGUACAAAUAUGAAAAUCUCAUUGCUCCGUCGCAGUUUUAUAAACAAAAUAAAAAGACACGUGAGAUAUUGUGUGAAAAAAUGAAUAAAUAAAUCAGUUGUCUUGAGAUGUGUGGCCUUCGACAGCAGGUUGGAUGCUUCUUUAUUUCCCCUGAUGGAUUUGGUAGUUUUCCAGCUAUUUUGUUCCUGUUUUAUUAUGAACCGCUGAUGCUCAUCUCGCAAAACAAAUCUCCCAAAAUUCAGCCUGGAGAAUACAAUAUAGCCCUCGUAGAGCAGAUACAGGUGGACACUGCCACUUUUUCCUCACCCCUAAAUGACUGAAUACUGUAGGUAGGUUGGUCAGUGCUUUCCAAAAUGACCUGC